AUAUUUAACAUGUUUACAGAUAAUCAAGGUAAUUCUAUAUACGUCUCACCCUGAAGUGACGAGCCGAAACAUUUUCUUGUCCAAUACACUAUAAAACUGAAUACGAAACAUUUUUCUUGAUGUCUAAGUACAUCAAGCCUGCCAUGAUAGUUCAAAUAAAUUACGCAGCAAAAGAAGCUUUCAUACAGUCUACAUUACUCGAUUUGCAUGAUUGAUGGUAAGGCACAACUACUGAUUCGACUAAACAAAUUGUUCAUCAAGCUUCUAUGAUAGUCCAGGAUCAGAUUCAGGAAUAGGAGUUCAACAUGCCCAAAACCAACAUGUAGCUAUGGGAUAUUUGAUAGAAAAUGGAGUCACCCACCAAUUAUAAACAAAUUCAGCUCUCAAAAGGAUACUAUCAGCAACCAACAGAAUACAAUGCACUAUAUGAUUCCAAAAUAAGGCAAUUAUAACAAAAUAAAGCUAAAUCUAUGAGCAAACAAUGGUGACAUUAUGCUCAAAUUCCAGAUUUUCAUUUCAUCUUUGAAUCAGGCCUCACAUUAGAUAGAACUCAGAGAUCAUGUACCUGGGAAUAAGGGGAAAGCAAAAAGGAGAAAAGAUCAGUAGGCAGCAGCAACAGAACAAAAUCUCAAACUCAGCAGCAGUAGUAAGCUCAAAAAUGACCAAUGAAACCAGCCUUGGACCCAACUUUAAAACAGUAGAAAUAACCACUGAUACCCAUCGAUCAAAAACGAACAGCCAAAAUUUGAACCAAACUUUUGAAAACCAACCAAGCUCAAACCAUUUUAUCCCUCGAUUGUUCAGAGAUCAUUUCAGAAGUGAGGCCUCAAGAAUUAUAGAAAGACUUUCAAUGGAACAGUGGUUUUUGUUUUUUCCAUUUGUUCUGAUUUCUCCUAUAUUUUCAGCCUUUUUGGUCUCUCUAAGGUGUAAAACAAAAUUGUCUUGAAUGAGAAGAAGGCUUCCUUUUAAAGGCUGAGGGUCUGCUGUGUGCCUUCCAAGGCAAGACAGUUAGAUUUUUCCCAAAAUAUCCUCAUAGGGCCUCUUUUAAAACUGAUUUUUGGACAGCUGUCCAUUUCCUUCAGAUAUUUUCAAUUUACAGCCUAUUUUCCCUAACCAUUUUGGGCAGCUAUCCAUUUAGGAAGCUUCCCAUCAAUUAUUAAAGAUUCUUCAAGUUGAAACAAUCUCCAAAAUCACCCCCUAAAGUUCCUCAUUAUUCACUUACCCCCCUUAAAUUCUGAAUGCUCAAAAUCACAAUAACAGUAAACAAACGGGCUGACACUUUCAAACAAAUUGAAAUUCAAAAUAACUAUUGAAAUUAUGAGAAAACUAGCUUGAAUAUCCUUCACCCAUAAACGUGAAUUCAGAAAAUGUUCUUGAAACAAGAAUUAAUGCGAACAAUGAACUAUACUUGACUAAUCUUAAUGCUUCAGUUCCAAAAUUAAUUCACAAAUGUGAAAUAAAACCUAGCGUAAAGAAGAAAAUCUCAUGAAUUGAAACCAAAUUAAAAUCAAACCUUAUGAAGCUAAUUGUCAUUGACAAUUACGCGAACAAGCUAACUAACAAACUUACAACUAGAACAUAAUACAAUUAAGCAAGAAACGAAAAUUUUGAAGGACGAAAACUGGAAAAACAAACAACCAAGCAAACAAACAGAAGAGAUCAAAAGGAAACCUAUCGACGUAAAGGAAAUUCUCCUAAACUUGCGUUGGCAAGAACUGCAUGAACUCGAACAACCUUGGAGAAGAAAGUGAACCUUUGACGGUCAUUAAUCGGUUGUCCUUAACAAAAGACAAAUGAUUAAUGGUGGUUUUGGGUUCACUUGACCUUGCUAAGCCAGAAAGGAACCCAGGGAGAGACUUGGUUAUCCGGCCCUCUGCUCUACCACUGACAUGCCAUUUUGAAAUGAAACAAACACGUAUUUGAGGCAGGAAGGAGAUGAGGGGUUGCAUUGUGUGAUUUUGGGUGGAUCUGGGAAUUUUUAGGGUUUCAGGCGCUAACCUCAGAUCUGAGAUUCGAGGCGAUGGAGUGGGAUUUGAGAGGAACUAUUUGGAGAUUUGGGAUGGGGAGGUGGAAGGGAGUUCAUGACGUUAAUUCGGUGGCGAUUGGAUGUCGGCGCCGGACGGUGGGGAAUUUUGGGGCGGCUACUAGGGUUUUGGGGGCAAGUUUCUGAAGUUGG
Molecule: long non-coding RNA, 2176 nt
Filed under: Nicotiana tabacum (common tobacco)
Lineage: Eukaryota; Viridiplantae; Streptophyta; Magnoliopsida; Solanales; Solanaceae
Description: long non-coding RNA (NTAB_LNC006351)
Source: RNAcentral